This 207-nucleotide ribosomal RNA is filed under the name uncultured bacterium. RNAcentral's name for it is "partial 16S ribosomal RNA". It matches the Rfam family "Bacterial small subunit ribosomal RNA", at positions 524 to 727 of the family's 1533-position model. The record is from RNAcentral.
UACGUAGGCAGCAAGCGUUGUUCGGAAUUACUGGGCGUAAAGAGUGUGUAGGCGGUGCUCUAAGUUCGGUGUGAAAUCUCCCGGCUCAACUGGGAGGGUGCGCCGGAAACUGGGGGUGCUGGAGCGCGGGAGGGGGAAAGCGGAAUUCCUGGUGUAGCGGUGAAAUGCGUAGAUAAUCAGGAGGAACACCGGCGGUGUAGACGGCUU